Molecule: long non-coding RNA, 674 nt
Organism: Coregonus clupeaformis (lake whitefish)
Lineage: Eukaryota; Metazoa; Chordata; Actinopteri; Salmoniformes; Salmonidae
Exons: 2
Source: RefSeq, a predicted model, not a curated record
CCUGCAUCGCGGCAGAACGGAAGUUGUCUGACGUCACGUGAAAAGGGCCUAUUGCAAUAGUAGAGGGCCGCAUCCGUCUAGAACUUCAUGUGAUUUAAAUCGGAGAGGACGAAGAAAAGAAGGCGACCAUGUUGAAUUAGCAAGAACAAACACAAUAGAGACGUUUUAUUUUGAGUAAAUUUAAUCUAAGGUAAAAUAGGUAAUUGAUCUGCCGCAAACAUUUGUGAUAAAUAACAUCAGAGGGAGAGAAAGGUGACACAGGCUUGAGUUGUUGCAACGGAAAGGAGCUGAAUACCACCCCACUCACACACAAAGCUACACACUUUGACAGAAUACCUGUGGUGUCAAAGAGAGAGGAGGGAGACCCAGCUGAAACAAAGGGGACAGACAGAGGAGCCCAAGGGGAACUUAAAGCUGGUUUACUUUUUGGACUACAGUUACCCUUUGUUUUAUUUUUAAACAUCAGGAAACUACUUUUACACGUGGAUGGACAUUUACACACAGAGUGGAAAACAAAUAUUGAACAAUAAGGACCAUAUUAUUUUGGAGAAAUAUUUGUACAAAUGUUUGAAAAACCAUUUGCAAGGACAUCGAUGUUGCGCAAUUCAAAGGGACUCGACGCAAAACAAGGAAAUGUUGUUUAAUUAAAUAAAGCGAUGUAACUUUUGAACAAA